UCCUCCAGCACCGUAGAGCUCGAAGUCUCCCUUCCUCAAACUUCUAAUUUUUUGCAACCCCUGCAAUGAUUUGCAGAUAUGAAAACCACAGGUGGUAUCCAAUAUUCAAGAGUUUGAAAUGGAAGAAUUCAAUGAUAAUAUUGUAUGUGUUGGGUAUAAAAUACCCUCCAGUCGAAGUUCGUGACCCUCUGGGGAUCCUACCGACUUCCGACCUCCGACGAUAUCUCUCCGAACCUCUCUGGCGGUCGAGCCUCCACAACACUCCCAAAUUUUGCCAAUGGAUAAGCCCCC
This 291-nucleotide long non-coding RNA is filed under the name Elaeis guineensis (African oil palm). RNAcentral's name for it is "long non-coding RNA (EGUI_LNC073405)". The record is from RNAcentral. Lineage: Eukaryota; Viridiplantae; Streptophyta; Magnoliopsida; Arecales; Arecaceae.